UCGGGAAUUUUGGACAAUGGGCGAAAGCCUGAUCCAGCCAUGCCGCGUGAGUGAAGAAGGCCUUCGGGUUGUAAAGCUCUUUUAGUCGGAAAGAAAGAGUUGCAAUGAAUAAUUGUGAUUUAUGACGGUACCGACAGAAAAAGCACCGGCUAACUACGUGCCAGCAGCCGCGGUAAUACGUAGGGUGCGAGCGUUAAUCGGAAUUACUGGGCGUAAAGGGUGCGCAGGCGGUCUUGCAAGUCAGAUGUGAAAGCCCCGGGCUUAACCUGGGAAUUGCGUUUGAAACUACAAGACUAGAGUGCAGCAGAGGGGAGUGGAAUUCCAUGUGUAGCAGUGAAAUGCGUAGAGAUGUGGAAGAACACCGAUGGCGAAGGCAGCUCCCUGGGUCUGCACUGACGCUCAUGCACGAAAGCGUGGGGAGCAAACA
Molecule: ribosomal RNA, 427 nt
Filed under: uncultured beta proteobacterium
Lineage: Bacteria; Pseudomonadati; Pseudomonadota; Betaproteobacteria
Description: bacterial SSU rRNA
Rfam family: Bacterial small subunit ribosomal RNA
Source: RNAcentral